RNAcentral lists this ribosomal RNA (497 nucleotides) under uncultured bacterium. Its description in RNAcentral is "partial 16S ribosomal RNA". It matches the Rfam family "Bacterial small subunit ribosomal RNA", at positions 28 to 507 of the family's 1533-position model. The record is from RNAcentral.
GAUGAACGCUGGCGGCGUGCCUAAUACAUGCAAGUCGAGCGAACAGACGAUGAGCUUGCUCCUCUGACGGUAGCGGCGGACGGGUGAGUAACACGUGGAUAACCUACCUAUAAGACUGGGAGAACUUCGUGAAACAGGAGCUAAUACCGGAGAAUAUAUUGAACCGCAUGAAGCAAUAGUUAAAGACGGUUUUGCUGUCACUUAGAGAUGGAGCCGGGGCCGAUUUUCUAGGUUGUAAGGGUACGGCCUACCAAGGCCACGAUUCGUAGCCGGUCUGAGAGGGUUAAUCGCCACACUGGAACUUAGACACGGUCCCGGCUCCCACGGGAGGCAGGAGUGGGGAAUUUUUCAGAAUGGGCGGAAGCCUUAUCGAGCCAUACCGCGGGGGUUAAGAAGGGUUUCGGGUUCGAAAACCCUGUUAUUAGGGAAGAAAAAAUGUGUAAGUAACUAUGCACGUCUUGACGGUACCUAAUCAGAAAGCAACGGCUAACUACGUG